GGUUACAGCAAAGAGCGGCAGGAGCCGAAGGACCAGCCUCCUCCCACAGCAGUCCAAAGCUCAGGCUUGGGAGGGCUCAGGGGAGGUGGAUUUCAGUCUAGGUGCAGAAGCCACUCUGAGCUUCCAUCUGGCAAAUAGGCCAGGACUCAGGCUGAAGCUGCCAUCUGGACACUGAGAAAAGAAGAAAUGUUUUGCAGCAUGUCAUGCUUCCAUGAAGUCCCAUCCUUCUCCUGAGUGGUACCUGAGAAUACAUGAGGGACAGAGAGAUAAAGAUGCAGUGCAGGAGCUGGACAAGACUCAUCUCCUUGCAUUUUCUUAAUACCAAGCAGAGAAAGAUGACAGUCACUUCCUCAUGGUCAACAGUCACUGCUGAUUUACAAGGUGUUCCCUGUGGACAAUAGUGCCACCAUUCCUAGCAAGUGUUCACUGAGCACUUGCUAUCCGCCAGGCCAGGGCAGAGCUGAGCUGGGACUGCACCACAAUGCUACCUUCAUUCCUCUGCAACUGGGCCGUGGGACUUCCCAGGGUCCAACAGCACCAUCUAUUGGCCGGAAGACCCCCGGAAAACAGCAUUUUCUCAGCGACCUCUGUCCAGGAGAAACUGAAUGGUAUGAGCCUUGUAGACUCAUCCUGGAAGACCAGAGGACAUCGUCCUUCACAUUUAGCUGAACAUCACCAUAACAAGCAAUGACCAACAGGCCACAGGUGGCUGUCAACAGUGACUGCACGCGACAAUACUUGAAGAGAUUCUGAAAAUCCAGAUGCCUCAAACCAAUUAAAUCAGAACCCCUGGGGCGGGACCCAGCCACAGGGGAAACACUGGCUUACUAGAAACAACUUGAACCUUAAGCCAAUAAAUAAAAUUAAAUGUCUGGGUUUAAGGGUCAGUUCCUCCGCUUAUCACCAUACAAUGUUGGACAAAUUACUUUACAUUCUUCCUAGCCCAGUUCUUCAAAUGUGAAACCAGCAGAUCAAUAUGUUCCCAUCAAAAUUAGUCUGCAAACUGGUCAACCCUAAACAUGUUCUGCAACUGACCCCAGAGUAAGAAAAGGAGACACAACCACUGGGACCAACGAGGAUGGGGAAUGGGGAAGAGAAUAGGCAUGCGGUGUUAAAAAUCUGGCUUGCCAGCCAGAAAACACUGGUCGCUCCCUGGGGUUCCUUUCAUCUCUAAAAAUUGGUAUUCUAUCCAUGUGUGCAAAGCUGGCAGGAAGAUAAACCUCUGUGCUUCCACAUAGCUCAGAGGAGAUUGUGAGUUGCCUGGAUAUGAUGCCAUUUUUUUUUUCAGAUUCAGGUCAUCAGGCUCAAAGAAUUCGCUGUUAUUGCCAGUACCACCUUGCACUGUAGUAAGUCCUCACUUUACACGUGCUAGGCUAAACCUUUUAGUUAUUACCACUCAUGCCCAACCAGUUGGCUCCACUGAGAGACUAGCAGGAGAAGCAACGUCGGCCACCCAAAGAAUUAAAAAACCUUCAAGGAUUUUUACCAAAUCUCUAGGUUUGUCCCAUUUUUUCAGCCCCUUCUGCAAAGACAAGCCAGAGAGAAGAAGCAAGCAUUCUCACAUCUCCUCUAAUAAGGGCAAUAAUCCUGUUGCAAAGGCUUCACCUGAUAACCUGACUAUCUCCCUAAGGCCCCGUCUCCAAAUACCAUCACACUGAGGUUUAGGGGUGUAUUAGUCCGUUCUCACACUGCUAUGAAGAAAUACUGAGUAAUUUAUAAAGGAAAGAGGUCUAAUUGGCUCAUGUUCUGCAGGUUGUACAGAAAAUACAGUUGCUUCUGCUUCUGGGGAGGCCUCAGGAAACUUACAAUCACGAAGGAAGGGGAAGCAAGCAAAUCUUACAUGGCAGAAACAGGAAAAAGGUGGGGAGGAAGUGCCACCCAUUUGUAAACAACCAGAUCUCAUGAGAACAGCAGCAGUAGAUGGUGCUAGACCAUUCAGGAAGGACCACCGCCGUGAUCCGAUCAUUUCCCACCAGGCCCCACCUUUUACAUUGGGGAUUACAUCUUGACAUGAAAUUUGAUAGGGACACAGAUCCAAACCCUAUCAAGCGGUUUGAUGUACAGAUCUUAGGGGAACAUAAACAUUAAAUCCACAGCAGACAGCCCUUGACGACCA
Non-coding RNA from Callithrix jacchus (white-tufted-ear marmoset), 2116 nucleotides. The record is from RefSeq and is a predicted model, not a curated record. Lineage: Eukaryota; Metazoa; Chordata; Mammalia; Primates; Cebidae.